RNAcentral lists this unclassified non-coding RNA (173 nucleotides) under uncultured Sebacina. RNAcentral describes it as "sequence contains ITS1". Lineage: Eukaryota; Fungi; Basidiomycota; Agaricomycetes; Sebacinales; Sebacinaceae. The record is from RNAcentral.
AUGAUUGCGAAUGGUUACCUUUGGUGCUGGCUCUCGCGAGCAAGUGCACAUUGGUGGCUUUCAUCCACUACUACCCUUGUGAACCUUUGGCCUCUUGCUCGCUUCGGCUGGCAGAGGAAUUUACACACACUCGAAUGUAAUGAAAUAUAUUGUCGUGCGCAAGCACUAAUGUA